Haplochromis burtoni (Burton's mouthbrooder) is the source of this 1456-nucleotide long non-coding RNA. RefSeq lists it as uncharacterized. The record is from RefSeq and is a predicted model, not a curated record. The transcript has 3 exons. Lineage: Eukaryota; Metazoa; Chordata; Actinopteri; Cichliformes; Cichlidae.
CUGGAUGAUCAGCAGGUCACUGACCAGGAGAGGAGUCUCAACCAGGAGGACCCAGAGCCUCCACAGAUUAAAGAGGAACAGGAGGAAACCCACAGCAGUGAGGAAGGAGAGCAGCUUGAACUGAAGUAGGAGGAUGAAGGGAUUAAUGUCUGGACUGGAGAACAGCUGGAUUUGUUGUGUAAGCCUGGAUUACGGCUGAGCAGAAUAGACCUCCCACAGCAACAUGAUUGUAAGGAAAAUGAGGAUCUGGAUGACCCGCAGGUCUGUAGCCAGGAGAGGAACUCCAGUCUGGACCAGCAGGACACAGAUCCUCCACAGACUAAAGAUGAACAAGAGGAAAUCUCCACCAAUCAGGAAGAAGAGCAGCUUUCACUAAAGCAGGAAACCAAUAUGAAUUUUCCACAACAAGACUGUAAGGACAAAAACCCGCUUGUACUGAAGCAGAAGACUGAAACUUUUCCUGCUUUUCCUGAAGAAAGUGACCACAGUGACCCAGAACCAAGCAAUGAACAGCUACUUUCUCAAAACUUCAUUUUCAUAAGGUUUUUGGAAGCUCAGUUUCUGUUUUCACACAUGGACAAGACAAACAGAGUUUGUCUCGCAGCAUAAAAUUUGUGCACCUUUAUCACCUUUUUCUGAUGUUAUUGUUUUAUAGUUUAUGGGGUUUAUCUUGGCUGAAGUUUCUUCAUUUCUUUCGUCAUGGCAUUGGCAGUGCUUGAGAUAUUUUUGGUGUCUUGAUGUAAAAAGAACUAUUUCUCAAAAACACAAUUGGAAUUGUCUGUAUAAAAAAAAUACAUGUGUUCAUGAGGUAGCCUUAAUUAAAGCCAGUUGUUUAUCUGAAGUUCACAGUUUGAAGGUGUUUAAAGCAGCAAACAGUUGCAAUCACUUUUCGCUGACUUGCACACUGCUAGAAGUCCUGUUGUUGUUUUUGUUGUUUGUGGGGUUUUUUUUUACAUUUUCUUUACAUUGGCUUGACAUAUUUGGGAAGUGCUUUGUAUACAGAAAAGGAAUAUUUUCAUGAAUGACAAUGUUAAGCAGUUACUCAUAUUGUUUGUGACCCACAUACUUAGGUUGUUUAUUCUCUAUGUUUAUAUCAUAACUUGUACUGCUUUUAUGUGAGCACCUGUUGAUACCCAGCUGUUGUUUUGAGAUAUAAUAAUUUGGACUAAUGUGUAACUUUAACAGUGUUCCAUUUUUAAUGGUUUGUGAUAUGUUGGUUGGUAGAAACUGAAACUGGAUUUGAAGAUGCACUUGGUAAUUAUUUUAUAUAUAUGUGAGUCACUUUGAUGGUCCAAACUGUCCAAAGUUGUAGAAACCCAUAAUUUGUGAAAUUUAUAGCUUACAUUUAGCUGUGCAAAUUGAUUUAAAGGCAUAAAAAUAUCUGUAGUAUUAAUUGCUUCUUACUAUGAGGUUGGCAUAACAGUCAUUAUUCCUGACCCUAUGGGCUGACCUUGCC